RNAcentral lists this ribosomal RNA (320 nucleotides) under uncultured Prevotella sp. RNAcentral describes it as "bacterial SSU rRNA". It matches the Rfam family "Bacterial small subunit ribosomal RNA", at positions 28 to 339 of the family's 1533-position model. Lineage: Bacteria; Pseudomonadati; Bacteroidota; Bacteroidia; Bacteroidales; Prevotellaceae. The record is from RNAcentral.
GAUGAACGCUAGCUACAGGCUUAACACAUGCAAGUCGAGGGGCAGCAUUAUCGAAGCUUGCUUUGAUAGAUGGCGACCGGCGCACGGGUGAGUAACGCGUAUCCAACCUGCCCAUGACUCAGGGAUAACCUUCCGAAAGGGAGCCUAAUACCUGAUGUUCUGCGACGAUGGCAUCAGAAUUGCAGUAAAGAUUCAUCGGUCAUGGAUGGGGAUGCGUGGGAUUAGGUAGACGGCGGGGUAACGGCCCACCGUGCCAUCGAUCCUUAGGGGUUCUGAGAGGAAGGUCCCCCACACUGGUACUGAGACACGGACCAAACUCC